CCGAGCAAUGGGAGCUCACCCCGUCGCAGGGAUUCGAACCGCCAACCUUCUGACUGGCAAGUCCUAGGCUCUGUGGUUUUAACCCACAGCACCACCCGCUGUUGAGUUAGUUGUGCAUUAUUACUGAAGCUUGUAAGUGCUGUGCUGAAUUCAUUUUUGUUACAUUUUUUAGUUCAUUGAUUCAUUGUGAUCAUCCUCUUCUCUAUGAUACUGAGUUUGGAGGCCCCUGCCUGAAACUUUGGAGAGCUGCUGCCAGUCUUACAUGGAGACUUCCAGCCUUACAGAGAGUACAAAGUUGCCACCCUACUGAAAUUCCUAUGCAACAUAUAUGAAGUGUUGGGUGCCCCCCCGGAGAAUAUUCUCAGUUUAUGCAGGUGGAAACAGGACUGGCCACUAGCACCCUGCAUGAAAUGACCAUGUGCUCUAAAACAAGUUCAAAACCCCCAUUUCCAAGCAAUACAAGGAUUCCUUGGAGGGACAGGGCUUUGAGAAGAAAGGAAAUUUCUGAUCUCAGCCAUUUCUGGCUCUUAUGAAGCAGGCAUUUAUCUACUUGCUGGUCUUCUUCGGUCGAUUCCUCUACAGAAUAUACGUUCAAAAAGGAUUUCAGUUUAAUUCAUAAACAGAAAUGUAGGGAAGCCAGCUGUUGCUGCGGAGAGGGGGGAGGAACUAAAAAAGAAAAAGAAAAAAAAGGAAUGCACGACAGCUUGACUUGCUGUUGACUUCUUAAGUGACCAGUUCAAAUAGCCAGGGGAUAUGUUAACUAAACCGACAACCAGAUUCCAGCGGGUGGAGGUUAUGACAACAUUUGUCUUUCCAGCUGUGCGCUUGCCAAAAUGGUCACAGGCAAAUCUCUCCCGCUUCUGGAGCCAGCCUCUACCACACACUGUAGUUCUGUGUUUUUCAUUCAUUCAGCCGGUUGCUGAACUGUCACACAAUUCAAUCACUGGGUGAAAGACCAAUUAUGGAACAGUCAUAGUGCGCAUUUUUAAAGGCCAAAUUAGAUUUACUUAUUAUAACCAAGAAUGUGUAUCUGUGCCCUUUGGCAAUUGUGGGGAGAAGUGUGGGGGAGAAGAUUCAGAUGUAAACUAAUCCAUUGAACAAAAAGAAAAAGGGAAAAACACAGAAGGGACAUACAUAUGAAGCUGCUUAAUGCUGAAUGAGACCAUUUGCCCUUCCAGUCCAGGGACUGAUUCUGACCAACAGCUGUUCUCCAAAAUCUCAAGUGGGGAUCUUUUUUAGACUUGAUUUCUUUUAGUGGCAGUACAAGGGAUUGAAACUGAGAUCUUCUGCCUGGAAGGCAUGUGCCCAUCCCCAACAUUGCACUGUUUUACACAAGCAGUGCUUAACUCGAGACGGGUCUUGUGAGGCUUAGCUGCACCACCUGUUUUCAAUGCCAGAGCAUGAAUCCAUGGCAUUGAAAGAAGGGAAUAACUUUGAGUGUCUUCCUCCACUUUGAUGUUUCUACAUCUUGUUCCUCACAUAGGAAGGAUUUAGAGGGUCAAUGGGGGAUGACUUCUACAUGGCUUAGAGCAGGCAUCCCCAAACUUCGGCCCUCCAGAUGUUUUGGACUACAAUUCCCAUCUUCCCCGACCACUGGUCCUGUUAGCUAGGGAUCACGGGAGUUGUAGGCCAAAACAUCUGGAGGGCCGCAGUUUGGGGAUGCCUGGCUUAGAGGCUUGAUGCCCUUUUGUUUUACAGCUCAGUGGUAACAAUGCUCCUGGCUCACAACCAACCUUACGAAAGUGUCCAUUGCAAAAUGGUCCAGGCAACAUUUGAUACAAAUGUCCCCAUGUUCAGAGGUUACUGUAGGUGGGUAGCUACUGGACAGAGGACCUUUUCUGUUGUUCCACCAUCAUUGUGGAACACCCUCUCUGUCUAGCAUCAUUUUUAAUAAUUAUUUACAUGUGUGCUAGAUCCAUCUGCUUUCUCUUGCUUUUAAUACUGAACAUUGAUCCAAUGUUAACCUGCCUCCUAUUUUUUACCUUUUAGUUUUAGAUCAGCUGGGAUCAAGCUUCCAUAGCGUAAACCAGGGGUGGCUAAUCUCUAGCCCUCCAGACUUUGUUGGACUACGAUUCCUACCAUCCCUAAGCCCUUAGCCAUGUUGACAGGCUGGUAGGAGUUGGUCCUUCAACAUCUAGAGGGCUACAUCUGCUCUAAACAGAUAAUGACCUUUAGAAGACUCAAUAGAGCCUUCAGCAACUUGUAAACAGAAAAGAAGGCUCAGGAAGUAAUCCUUGGUGUCAUAAGUGGGGAGUUACAACCAUCUCUGUGCUUUCAUAUGUGAAAUGAGGGAGGGUAUGAGACUGGGGCUAACAGUUAAGGGAAGGGCCUUCGCUCAAUGGCACAUUGCUAUGCAAAAGGCCAUAGGUUCAAUUCUUAGUAUCUCCUAGUAGGGCCGGGAAUGUGUCCCUAUCCGAAACAUUGGAGACCUGAUGCCAAAUGAUGUUGAAAAUAUUGACCUAGAAAGGAGAAAUGAUCUGACUUUUUAUAAAGCAGCUUCGUAUGGACUGGAGUCAUUUUCUGAGUCUCUCAGGGGAAAGCUUGUCUCAUCCCUUAUUUUGGCAGGGGCAUAGUUGAUGUUGAUGCUAAGAAUUGGGAUUACGGCAUUUCAAUACUUCUUUCUUCAUAUAUUGUUCAGGCUUGAUAUUUUUAAUCCCACACAUGUGUUUUUCCACAUUUCUCUCUCUCUCUCUAAAUGGUUGUUGGUGAGCCCUUUCUCUAGCUCAGUACAAGGCAGGUACCUAUGAGCCACAGUCGGGCCUAGGAAGAAGAUGUUUCAUAAAUGGUGCAAGAAUGUGUUGUUUUGGGUUAUUUGGCCACUGUGUCUUUUGAAUAGUCAAGUCUUGGACCAGAAUACUCCUGUAAAAGCUACCUGUUGAAGGAGCAAGACUUAGUCUGACCCCUGUGUUUUUCCUCCCUCAUGGUUUGGAUUUAUGGACUACUUAAAAUGAGGCUGCAUUUUAAAUUUUAAUAUUGUAUUUUAAUCUGUAUUUUAAUUAAUUGCUUUUUAUGUUUUAUUGUAAUUUUAUUGGCAUUAGCCGACCU
Molecule: non-coding RNA, 3045 nt
Organism: Zootoca vivipara (common lizard)
Lineage: Eukaryota; Metazoa; Chordata; Lepidosauria; Squamata; Lacertidae
Source: RefSeq, a predicted model, not a curated record